RNAcentral lists this long non-coding RNA (14270 nucleotides) under Homo sapiens (human). RNAcentral describes it as "non-protein coding lnc-KMT2C-6:3". The stretch from base 95 to 378 matches the Rfam family "Metazoan signal recognition particle RNA". Lineage: Eukaryota; Metazoa; Chordata; Mammalia; Primates; Hominidae. The record is from RNAcentral.
GAGUCCUCCCUAGCGUUCGCGCAGAGGCGCCGCGCGUGGCCUGGCUCCUGUUGUCUGUCACCCGCGGUCUCAAAAGACCCCAUUAAUGACAAAUGCCCUGCCUGUGGCCCCGGCUACUCCGGAGGCUGAGGCGGGAGCAGCGCUUGAGCCCGGGAGCUCUGCGCUGUAUGCGCUGUGCCCAUUGCGCGGCGACACGCAUCUGUGUUCCGCAUCGGUGUGGUGACCUCCCGGGAGCAGGGACCACCAGGUUCCCCAAGGAGUGGGGAACUGGCCCAGCUCGGAAACCGGGCAGGGCAAAACUCCUGUGCUGAUCGGUAGCGGGAUCGCGCCUGUGAAUAGCCACUGCCCUCCAGCCUGGGCAAUACAGCGAGACCCCAUAAGUGAAAAAAAAAAAAAAAGACAAAUGCCCUUAAACAUAUUAAAAGAAGUUAAACGCCACUUGUGAUAGAAGAAAAUGUAGAUUAAGGUGUAAAGAGAGAAGUGGUGAAAAAAACACUCAUACCUUGGUGAUAAUAGUGCAAUGUAUACAAAUACCAUAAAAGGGGAAUUGGCAAUUUUUAAGAAAAAUGGUGUGGGCAUUCAUCUUUGGCCAAUAAUGCCAAGUUAUAUUGAAGAAUAUCUUAAUACUAAUCUUCUUUGCAUUUCUGAAAUAAAUCCCACUUGGUUAAGAAUAUUUUUGAACUUUUUUAAAGAACUCAUUGCUUCACAAUUAAAGUCUGAUGGGGUACACGCGUAGCAAUGGAGGAACUUCUACAGCUACUAUAAAUUAAAGAGCACCACCUGAACCAAAGUAGUGGCCUUCUUGAGCUGAACUGAGCUAACCACAUUCCCCAGCCCCUCUUCCACAGAUACCCCAUGGGGUUGUCAGGGUGUAGGGGAUGCCAUGUUGUACCACCCAGGUUUCCCCUUAAGGACUGAGGACUCAUUUCUCCAGUUGUUGGGUGUGUAGGCCGCUGAUGGCCCCCAGCUGAGUCUUGUGGCCACUUCCCUCAGCCAAAGAGAACUGCUGCUGGGUGCCAAGUUGAAUGCUUUUGACUCCUUCUACCAUGCUUGUGUCUUGAUUGGAGAUUGACAGAUAUUUCAGGUACUGGUUUCUCUUGCAAGGGCAGUGCAGACAGCACACAGGUAUCUUUGCCCAGUUUCCUUCAAUGGUUGCAGCUCAUGUAAAAUAUACAUAGUAUAAUAUCAAAUAAGCGUCAUUGGGGAUCAAUCCUGCUGGGAUCCCCCUCAGAAACUAUUCACAGCAGUGGCAGGCAAACUAGGGCAAAGUCUACUAGGUAUAUUUAAAAGUGUAUUACAAGUUUAUUUAAAUACAUAAAUAUGUUUCCAGAAAGUAAUCCUUCCAACUACCUAAACUAGUAAUGAAAAAUGUUAAAUAUCACCUUAAAUAUGUAUAAGGGGAUACUAAGUUCUUGUAUUUAAACCUUAUUAUUUUAGUAUAUACUCAAGCAAAAGAGUUUGAAGACCAGACCUUUAGGGCCUCACUACUCAAAUGGUGGUCCAGCAACAAGCGACACCAACGUCACCUGGAGUGUGUUAGAAAUGGGGAGUCUUGUGCUCCACCUACUUAAUUAAAAUCUGCAUUUUUACCAAGAUUUCCAGGUGAUUUAUACACAAAUUAACAUUUGAAAUCAUGCUCUAGGAUUAAUCAGGGCAUGUAAAUUUCCAUUGUUUCAUCUUCUCCUGACCCUUGAUAGUAUCAGAUAUUUAAAUAUUUGCCAACCUGAUGAGUAUGAGAUGCAUCUGUUUAUUACUUUAAAUACUAUUCUACCUGAUUAAUGUGCAAUAAUUACUUAACCAUUAUUCUCGUAAUUGAGGAUUUGGGUUAGCUCCAAUUUUUCACUAUCAUACAGAAUGACACUAAAAUGCUCUUUUCAGCGUAUCAUUCUGGUUAAACACAAUCUUUGAGGCCACGCUGAUUAGGAUCAUGUAAGGGCCGUGUUAUUGUUUGUCCUUGGAUACAGUUGCCAGAUGAAAUACAGGAUGGCCUGAAAUUUGAAUUCCAGAUUAAGAAUAAUUUUGUGGUUUAAGUAUAUCCUGUGCAAUAUGUGAGAGGCUUGUCUUCAUCUGUGCUGCCAUAAUAAAAUACCUGAGACUAGGUAGUUUAAAAACAAAUUUGUUUUCCCACUCUCCUGGAGGCUGGGAAGUACAAGAUCCAGCAGCCGUAUCUGGUAGGCUGCUGGUGAGGGCUUUGUGCUACAUCAUAACGUGGCAGAGAAUCGGAAGAGGAAGCGCGCACUGGCUAAAGGGGCAAUGUUACUUAUUAACAACCCGCUCUCAAGGUACCUAAUCCAGUCUCAAGAGACUGGGAACUCUCAGUGACUGCGUUAAUCUUUUCAUGGGGGGCUGGUCCCUCAUGGCUCAAAUGCCUCUUAAAGGUCCUACUCUGUCUCAACACUGUUACCCUGGGGUCCAAGCCUCAACAUGAAUUUUGGUGGGGAUAAAAGGUAUUCAAACUGUAGUGCUGUUGCUUUGUCAGUUGUUUCAACAUGAAUUAUGGAAGACACAUUCAGAAUGUAGCCAUAUGUACAGUAAAAUGUUAUUGUCUAUUUGAAAUUCAAGUUUAACCAGGCAUCCUGUAUUUUUAUUAGCCAAAUAGGGCAACGUUAACCUGGGCACAUUCUAACCAUCGUUUUCUCAUCUAUGAAAUGAGGAUAGCAGUAGAACUCAUAAAGUUGUUGUAUGAAUGAAAGGAGAUAAUCCAUGCAGACUACUUAUAACAGAGUAUGAAACGUAGUAAAAGCUCAGCAAAUGUCAGCUCUUCUUAGUUGUUGUUUCAUACAGGUGUGUCUUGGGAUAAAUUCCUAGAAGGAUGUUUUAGUUACAGAACUCCUGGGCUUAAUUUCAGACUUGUUUGAGCAUUCCAUCAUACCAAAAACUGUUUUGUAAGAAACCCUAAGCAGGUUACCAGAUACUUUUCAACUAGCUUCAAAAUACAAAUCAGAUUUUUAAAUUUCCACACAAAAACAAAAAAUUGCCAUCUAUAGGCAAGUAUCAAUUUCCCUUUAAUCACACCAAAUAUUUGGAUAUUGAUUCUGAUUUCUUUUCUAUUUUAGGGUCAACUGAAGCAAUAUUUAAGAAGAUACUGUCCAAGGGACAUGCUGAACAAUUUCUAGGACUUAUCUGUGUUAUCUAGUACCUAAACUAAAUUACAUUACAAAACUAAGACUUAAUAUUAGGCCCACGGCUUUUAACAAAAGAGAACACUCCUGUCUUUUGCUUUUGGGAAAGCUGAUAUUUACAGCAUCCAUUCUUUAUGCUUACCAGAAAAAAAAUAUACUUUUUAAUGUUACAUAUAUAUCAUUUAUAUAUUACAUAUAAUAAUUAUAUAUAACAUAUAUAUAUUCUCAAAUUUCAACUAGAAAAAAACUGUUACUUUAAGAAGAUACUCCAUAUUUAUACUACUAUAAUUCUCUUUUAUUUUUUCAGCUACAAGAUUUCUAUUUUGCUUUUUGUUUGUUUGUUUUUUGAGACAGUCUCUGUCACCCAGGCUGGAGUGCAGUGGUGUGAUCUUGGUCUUGGUCUCGGCUCACUGCAACCUCCACCUCCCAUGUUCAAGCGAUUCUUGUGCCUCCCAAAUAGCUGGGAUUACAGGCACGUGCCACUGAGCCGGGUUCUGUUUUGCUUUUUUUUUUUUUUUCCUGACGGAGUCUCACUCCGUCGCCCAGGCUAGAGUGCAGUGGUGCAAUCUCAGCUCACUGCAACCUCUGCCUCCCAGGUUCAAGCAAUUCUCCUGCCUCAGCCUCCUGAGUAGCUAGGAUUACAGGCGUGCGCCACCAUGCCCAGCUAAUUUUUUUGUAUUUUUAGUAGAGACCGGGUUUCACCAUGUUGGCCAGGCUGAUCUCAAACUCCUGAUCUCGUGAUCCACCCGCCUCAGCCUCCCAAAGUGCUGGGAUUACAGACGUGAGCCACCGCGCCUGGCCUGUUUUGCAUUUUAUCAUAAUUUUAGUAGACUCAUGGGUUUAUUAUGAUUAAUUUUUAAAUGACUUUCUAGAGGCAGGAAAGGUAUAAAUAAUAUAUGGGCCAAGAAUACAAUCAAGCGUGGCACUCGUUUUGUGCUGCCAGAUCAACCUUUUAAAGGAUCAAUCAAGUGGCUGUCUGUAAUAGAUCAGCUCAUGUCUGUCUAGCAAUAGAUUUUAUGCAGUAUUUUGCUAAAUAGAUAGGUAUAAAGGGGUUAUUUGCGGCCGGGCGCAGUAGCUCACACCUGUAAUCCCAGCACUUUAGGAGGCCGAGGCGGGUGGAUCACCUGAGGUCAGGAGUUCAAGACCAGCCUGGCCAACAUGAUGAAACCACAUCUCUACUAAAAAUACAAAAAUUAGUUGGGCAUGGUGGUGGGUGCCUGUAAUCCCAGCUACUUGGGAGGCUGAGGUAUGAGAAUCACUUGAACCCGGGAGGUGGAGGUUGCAGUGAGCCGAGAUCGGGCUACUGCACUCCAGCCUGGGCAACAAGAGUGAAACUCUGUCUGCAAAAAAAAAAAAAAAAAACUUCAUUCCCAGCAACUAGAAGAAUACCUGUCUGAUUGAAGGAGCUCAAUAGAUGAUUCAAAUUGUUUUUCUGCUGUAAAAACUAACUUACCUUCUUUCCAGCAUAGACUAUUCUCUUCCACUUUUUUUUUUUUUGCCCCUUUCAAUGUGUUUCUUCUCUCAUUAUCUGUCUCUCUUUCUGAAUUCAGUGUCUUUCACCUUCUUAGCCACCAUCACCAGCGUAAAACCAACAGUGAUCUGUCUAACUCCAAAGAUGCCAAAGAAGUACUUUGGACAUCUGAGAAUGUGUUUACACAGGACAGACAAGUCACCCAGCUGCUGCUUCCCUGAUCCCAGCUAAACAGUUUACCAAGAGUCAAGAAGUGUCUGGAGAGCUGGAGGCCAGAGCCAUAGGAGGAGACAGACAUGAAAAAGGCAAAAUUGGCCGGGCGUGGUGGCUCAUGCCUGUAAUCCCAGCACUUCGGGAGGCCGAGGCGGCCGGAUCACAAGGUCAAAAGAUCGAGACCAUCCUGGCCAACAUGGUGAAACCCUGUCUCUACUAAAAAUACAAAAAUUAGCUGGGCAUGGUGGUGUGCGCCUGUAAUCCCAGGUACUUGGGAGGCUGAGGCAGGAGAAUUGCUUGAACCCGGGAGGCAGAGGUUGCAGUGAGCCGAGAUUAUAACACUAUGCUCCAGCCUGGCGACAGAGCGAGACUCACAGAAGACGGAGUAUCUUCAGAUGACAGAAGGGCUGGCAGGAACAGAUGGGGAAGCUGGCCUGGAGAGCUGACCAGACACCCAGGCAGGUGGACUGGACGCCAGAUGUUCAGGCUGUUCACAGAUGCCUCCAACUCUGGGAAGACAUUAUCCAAAUACCACUGAAAUGACUUGCAACCCAGUCGUUUCCUUAACUCAACACGCUCGCGAAUAUUUCCGUAGGUGACAUAUUUCAGACCAGGCUUUCGAAGAAAAAACUGCUCCUAAAUGAAAAUAUAGAGUCAGUCGUUACGUUCAACCAAACAAAUCUUUGCUGAUCAAAUGAUUAUAUCUAACAUAGACGCAUGUAUUUUCAUCAUGUGAACUAAAAAAGCCCUCCAGAUCCCAAUUUUUUUCUGUCUAGGGAAUGAAGGCAGAGACAUACUAUGGGACCUCGGAUUUACCCACCCUGCAUAUGUUCACAGCACGUGCCAUGGCACCCUAGCGGGAUCCAGGAAGACUGGGUCCUGCUUCUCAGGAGCCAAAGAAGCACAGCCACCUAUUGCGGUAUCCCCUUUCUCCUGUUUUUUCAACAAUACCCAAGGACAAACCCCGUUAGUCCCUGGUCCUCAUCAGUAUGUUUGUCUUUUCAGAAAUGGGGGAUGAUGUAGUAAAGGGAGAAUAGAUCCUGCAGGAGUACAGCCUGGAUUCAAAGUCUGGCCCUGCCAUUCAGGGUCUGUGUGACCCUAGGCAAGUCUUCCCCUUGCGAAGUGCUUGUGAGGGUUGAACAGUCUAAUAGGGACAUGCAAAGCCCCUGGGCGAGCAUGGUUGGCACAUACUAAGUGUCAUGUCUGAGGUGGUCAUUAUUACCACACUUGGUUAGUUUUUUGUGUGCUCUGACUUAAGGAAGCCCCAAGAAUGAAUGUCUAAUGGACUCUGUUGGCCCCAUGUUGAAAAAAGGUAUUCUAAGUAGACUGAAGCCCUUCGCAAACAGAACCCUUAUCUUUUCAUCUGUGUUUUCCCAGGCCUGGCAUUCAGGGUAGUGAUAGUGUUGAAUGACAGAAGGAGUUUGCUCAUCCAAAUUAAUGUAUUAUGGGCAUGCCAUAUUGGAUUCUCCCUGGGGAUCCGUGACCACUGUAGGUCUUUGCCAUCGCAUUCUGCCACCCCUAGGUCCCCAGGGUGGAUUGGUGCAGGGGGUGAGCCUGCAGGUGGGGGAGGAUGCCAUAAUUUUGGAGACAAGACAGCAUGGAUGACCUUAGGCACAUCUUCCUGUCCAAAGCCCUCUCUUGUCCCAAUCAGUCACUAAAUUUCCCAUUGUGCUGUAUUAUGCAAUCCAUUGAUUUUUAUACUUAACACGUCAUAUCCCUUUAAGUUAACUUUUUGCUCUGUGAAAGUCAGUAAACCAUGCAGAAAUAGCUAUGUUCAAUUCAACCAUCUAGAUCCCUGACCAGCGUUCACAGAAAAAAAAAAUCAACAAACAUGAAAAUAAGCUCAAGAGUUGUCGUAAUGAAAUACAAUUUUAAACAAUGAGAUGUUUUUUAACCUAUCUGAUUAAAACAAACAAACAAACAGUUCAGCUAUAACCAAUAUGAGGAGACAGGCACUUUCGUAUACAUUUGAUGGCAGCACAGAUGACGAGACAGACAGUGAAGAUCAUUUGGAUAUUACCCCAUCAGGAUUUAAAAUGCACUAACUCUUGCCCCAGCAAGUUCAUGUCUUGAAUUUAUUCCAAAGAUAUAUUUGCAAAAAUAUGCACAAAAAAGUAUGUCAAUAAUUCUCAUUUCAAGGCUGGGCGUGGUGGCUUAUGCCUGUAAUCCCAGCACUUUGGGAGGCCAAGGCAGGCAGAUCAUGAGGUCAGGAGUUCAAGACCAGCCUGGCCAAUAUGGUGAAACCCCGUCUCUGUUAAAAAUAUAAAAAAUGAGCUGGGUGUGGUGGCAUGCACCUGUAGUCCCAGCUAUUCGGGAGGCUGAGGCAGGAGAAUCACUGAACGUGGGAGGUGGAGGUUGCAGUGAGCCGAGAUUGCAUCACCGCACUCCAGCCUGGGUGACAGAGCAAGACUCUGUUUCAAAAGAAAGAAAAAAAAAAAGAAUUCUCAUUUGAGGAUUGUCAAGAAAAUAGCAAAAAGCCGAGGAAAUCAGAAUGCUUAUCAACUGGUACUAUUUAUUAAUGGGAUCAAUUUUGGUAGAUCCAGUUAAAGGAACUAUUUAAAAAAAUGAGAUAUGUUUAUAUGUUCUGAUUUUGAAAGACAAUUUGAAAGCCCCCUGCUUUUUCUUUCCUGAUCAUUGCCCUUUUCCUUCGUUUUACAUUCUAUCUUGAUUACGUAUUAAUUUCUUUUUAUUCUAGCUUUGAUAUCUGAUUAUUCAUGCACAAAUUAUAGGUUUAAUUUUACCCAUUUGAACUUUACAGGAAGGAAAUAAUACAGUAUAAGUUCCGUUGUGUUUGGCUGCUUUCAUUCACCAUUACAUCUCUGAAAUUUACCUAUGCUCUUGUAGGUACAGUCAUGUACCACGUGAUGAAGUUUCAGUCAACGCCUGACCAUGUACAUAAUGGUAGUCCCAUAAGAUUAUAAUACCAUACUUUUACUGUACCUUUUAUUUAGAUAUGUUUAGAUACACAAAUACUUACCAUUGUGUUACAACUGCCUACAGUGUUCAGUAGAGUCACAUGCCAUACAGGUUUGUAGCCUGGGAGCAAUGGGCCAUACCAUAUAGCCAAGGUGUGCAAUGGGCUAUACCAUCUCCAUCUAGGUUUGUGUAGGUACACGCUAUGAUGGUCCCACAACAAUGAAAUCACCUAAUGAUGAUUUCUCAUAAUAUAUUCCCAUCGUUAAGUGAGACAUGACUAUACACUAUAGUUGGUUUUCUUUCUUUUCUUUUCUUUUUUUUUUUUUUGAGAUGGAGCUUUGCUCUUGUCACCCUGGUUGGAGUGCGGUGGUGUGAUCUUGGCUCACUGCAACCUCUACCUCCUGGGUUCAAGCAAUUCUCCAGCUUCAGCCUCCCGAGUAGCUGGGAUUACAGGUGCCCACCACCAUGCCCGGCUAAUUUUUUUUGUAUUUUUAGUAGAGAUGAGGUUUCACCACAUUGGCCAGGCUGGUCUUGAACUCCUGGCCUCAGGUGAUCCAUCCGCCUUGGCCUCCCUAAGUGCUGAAAUUACAAGUGUGAGCCACCAUGCCCAGCCCAGUUAAUUUUCAUUGCUGUAUAGGAUUAUAGCGACUAAAUAUAUCACAGUUGUCCACUGUACUGUUGAUGAGUAUUUGUAUUGUAUUAAGUUUUAGCUAAAACAAAUAAUGCUGUUUAUUAGUUUUCUUGUUCAUGUGUCCUGGUGCACAAAAGCAUGCGCUUCUGUAGCAUAUGCAUGAGCAGAACUGCUGAAUCACAAGGUAUUCAGAUCUUUUACUUUAGUAGGUGCUGCCACGCCAUUUUCAGAUGUAAUUUUGUAAAAGUCAACACUCCCAUAAGUGAAAGAAAGCUGAGAGAUCCUAUUGCUCACUGACACUCGGGCCCAUAAGAUUUUUUUUUUUUUUUUGAGACGGAGUUUUGCUCUCGUUGCCCAGGCUGAAGUGCAACGGCACAAUCUUGACUCACUGCAACUUCCGCCUCCUGGGUUCAAGCGAUUCUCCUCCCUCAGCCUCCUGAGUAGCUGGGACUACAGGAGUGUGCCAUGAUGCCCGGCUAAUUUUGUAUUUUUAGUAGAGAUGGCGUUUCUCCAUGUUGGUCAGGCUGGUCUUGAACUCCCAACCUCAGGUGAUCUGCCUGCCUCGGCCUCCCAAGUGCUUAGAUUAGAGACAUGAGCCACUGUGCCCAGCCAGGCCUGUCAGACUUUUAAAAUUCUGCUAAUCUAAGUGGUGGUGUUGAAAUAGCUCUUUGAAGUUUUAGUUCACAUUUCUCUAAUUACAAAAGAAAUGGAGCAUUAUUACCUUCAUAAUUAAAGUGUGUUUUUUUCAGUUAGAGAAACAUAAGAUGAAGACCAGGACAUACACUGUCAGAGAGAUUCUUACACAUUUCUAUUUGUUCAUCUGAAAUGAGAUUUUGCUGGGGUUUUUGUAUUUAUUUACACAUAGCUUCUGGAUGGACAUGCACCCUUGUAAGUCCUGGCAAGGUACUUAACUCCUGGGGAAAUGCACAGAUGACAGGGUAUAGUUUUGAUACAGAAAUCUUUGGCUGUUGGUCGAAAAGUGGUAGUGGAAGUUCUCACACGGUCUCAAGACCAGCAGCAUCCACAUUGCUUGGGAAAUCAGCGGGGAAGAAAAAGAAUCUCAAGAGUUGCACAUGGGCCGGGUACGGUGGCUCACUCUUAUAAAUCCCAGCACUUUGGAAGGCCGAGGUGGGCGGAUCAUGAGGUCAAGAGAUUGAGACCAGCCUGGCCAACAUGGUGAAACCCUGUCUCUACUAAAAAUACAAAAAUUAGCCAGGCCUGAUGGUAUGCGCCUGUAGUCCCAGCUACUCCAGAGGCUGAGGCAGGAGGAUCGCUUGAAUCCGAGAGGCAGAGGUUGCAGUGAGCUGAGAUCGCGCCACUGCACUCCAGCCUGGGCGACAGAGCAAGACUCCGUCUCAAAAAAAAAAAAAAAAAGAGUUGCACAUGGGGACGGGGCAAGGAGAAGCUAUUUGCUUCAGGUGUGGGACAAUUCCCUGGAGGUGGGAACGGAGGGAAUAGAUCCAGCACCUCCAUAAAAAAGACUGCUCAUGUUGAUUGAUUUACUUCUGAGAGACUUGAGUUUUCCCAGAAAUUAAAACAAAAAUAAUGAGAUGUAAGAGUAGCAGCUUAGGAUGAACUGAGAAUAGGGUUGGGGAUGGAUUGAUGAGGGGUUAGAGGGGUGCUGUAUUCAAGAAAAACAGAGAAAAGAACAACUAUCAAUAACUAUCAAUAGGUAGUUUUUUAUCCUCACCCUCCUCCCACAGUCCACCCUCAGGAAGGCCCCAGUAUCUGUUGUUCCCUGCUUUGUGUCCAUGUAUAAUGUUUAGCUCUCACUUGUAAAUGAGAACAUGCAGUAUUUGGUUUUCCGUUCCUGUGUUAAUUUGCUUAGGAUAAUGACCUCCAGAACAAACGCUGGAUCUGGAAAGGCAGCAGCAGGCUUCCUCAGAACAAGUCCUGCUCCGGCCUCGCAUACAUUUUCCAAGUCAAGGAUGUGUUCCCCACCUUAUAUUCAUCCAGCCAAACGUGCACCAGUCUUAGGUAGUUAUGUGUCAUAGCACUGAUGAUUGUAGAAGGUUUUCCAGUUUGUUUCUUACUGAUAUGUCCUACUCGAGAGCAGGGGAUUAUAAAGAGUUGGCCUCCACACAUCCAGAUCUAGGCAUAAGAAGAACAAAAAACAUACGAAUGCAUUAUUACUGCUAACAGGCAACUGCUUUUAAACCAAUAUAAUGGCCAGGUGCGGUGGCUCAUGCCUGUAAUCCCAGCAUUUUGGGAGGCCAAGGCAGUCAGAUCACCUAAGGAAGGGAGUUUGAGACCAGCCUGGCCAACGUGGUGAAACCCUCUCUCUACUAAAAAUACAAAAAUUAGCCAGGCGUGGUGGCGCAUGCCUGUAAUCCCAGCUACUUGGGAGGCUGAGGCAGGAGAAUUGCUUGAACUCAGGAGGUGGAUGUUGUGAGCCGAGGUCGUGCCACUGCACUCCAGCCUGGGCAACAUAGCGACACUCCAUCUCAAAAACAAAAAACGACAACCACAAAAACCCAUAAUAAUGGCUAAUUAAGUUUCUUAUUUAAUUCUCACAACAGCCUUAUAAUUCAGAUUCUGUGAUUAUUCCCAUUUUACAGAUGAGGAAACUAACACAUAGAUUGGUUAAGAAGUUUGCCCAAUGACACAGAAGUUACACAGUAGAGUACAAGGUUCAAAUUUAGAAAGCCUGACUGAGAGCCAGCAAUGAAGAUGAAGGGGUUCUGCCUCUCUCAUAAUUACCUACAGGAAUUGCUGGAUGUAGGCAAGAAACAAGAGAAAUGCUGAUCAUGACUGAAUUCAAUUAUUCAUCUUUUUUAAUACCUAAAACUCCUUAUGUUGCUCACUUUUAAUAGCUAUUAAUUUUACUACACAAAAGUAAAAUAUAACCAUUGAAAAUUUGGCAAAUGCAGGAAAGCACACAGAAGAAAACACAAUUCACUUCUUGUCCUAACAUUCCGAGUGAGUCAAUAUUAACCCAGGUAUAUAUGUAAACUCACGUAGACAUAAACAUUAAGAUAACUUGAUUUUUUUUCAUUUGAUGUUGUGUGAAAUUAUUUUUGAAGUCUUAUGUUGUUUGGACACUUUGGUAGCUUCUGAUUUUUAUUAUUAAAAAUAAUACCCCAAAGAACGUGCUUAUGAUAUAAAUCUUGUGCACCUGAUUUCUCAUCUUACAGUAUACUUGCCAUAACUCUUUUGUUUAAUUACUCUAACCACUCUGUGAGUAGCUCUCACACCAACACAACUCAGCUAUUCUGGCUAAGCCUAGAAGAACCACUUUAGCGAUACAAUGGAUUAUGAGAAAUAACCAUUGCUUGUUGCUUUAAAGUACUGUGUUUUGGGAUAGUUUGUUAUACAGCAAAAGCUAGCUGAUACAUGAAGGAGCAUUUUCCUCCUAACACCAGUUUUUGUUUUUUUUUUUCUUUCCAACUUUUGUUUUCAGUUCAAGGGUACAUGUGCAGGCGUGUUACAUGGGUAAAAUGCAUGUCUGGGGGUUUUGAGCACAGGUCAUUUCAUCACCCAGGUAAUGAGCAUCGCACUCAAUAGGUAGUUUUUUAUCCUCACCCUCCUCCCACAGUCCACCCUCAGGAAGGCCCCAGUAUCUGUUGUUCCCUGCUUUGUGUCCAUGUACAAUGUUUAGCUCUCACUUGUAAAUAAGAACAUGCAGUAUUUAGUCUUCCGUUCCUGUGUUAAUUUGCUUAGGAUAAUGACCUCCAGCUCCACCCACUUUGCUGCAAAGGACAUGAUUUUAUUAUUUUUAAAUGGCUGUGUAACAUUCCAUGGUGUAUAUGUACCACAUUUUCUUUAUCCAGUCCACUGGUUUUUGUUUUUGUUUUUUUGAGACUGAGUCUUGCUCUGUCAUCCAGCCUGGAUGCCCCGCCAUCCAGGUUCAAGCGAUUCUCAUGCCUAAGCCUCCUGAGUAGCUGGGAUUACAGGUACACACUGCCAAACCCAGCUCAUUUUUGUAUUUUUGGUGGAGAUGGGGUUUCACCAUGUUGGCCAGGUUGGUCAUGAACUUCUGACCUCAAGUGAUCUGCCCACCUUGGCCUCCCAAAGUGCUCGGAUUAGAGGCGUGAAUCACCAUGCCUGGCCCCAGUCCGCUGUUGAUGGGCAUCUGGGUUGAUUCCAUGUCUUUGUUAUUGUGGAAAGUGCUACAAUGAGAACAUAGGCAUGCAUGUGUCUUUAUGGUAGAACAAUGUAUAUUCCUUUGGGUAAUAUACCCAGUAAUAGGAUUGCUGGGUCAAAUGGUAGUUCUGUUUUAAAUUCUUUGAGAAAUCUCCCAACUGCUUUCCACAAUGGUUGAACUAAUUUACACUCCCACAGCAGCAGAGUAUAGCAUUCCCUUCUCUCCACAGCCUCGCCAGCAUCUGUUUGUUUUUUUGUUUGUUUGUUUGUUUUUUGACUUUUUAGUAAUAGCCAUUCUGACUGGCUAACACCAGUUUUAUUUACUCAAGUAAAUAAGACCUCCAUCCACUUAGCUGGUCAUUCCAGAAACUUGGUGUGAUAGAUUGAAAUCUUGUUCAAUAAACAGCUCAGUCCUUGUCCCUCAUCUUGCAGAACAGCGUGUUUCCCUGACCCACUGAAUUUGGGCUUCUCUGUUUGACACAUUUGGCCAAUGGAUCGUGAGCACACAUCAUGCAUGCAGAGGUAUAAAUGUGCUGUGUGGUUUGGCUUGACUUUUGAAUUCCUGCCAUUCAGCAUGAGAAGGAUAUGCUGUGAGUCGCUGCUACUCCUAGAAUGAUAAUCAGAUCUGAAUCCAAUUCAGAGACUAGAGCCCAGCCCAACAACCUGUAUUCUGAGGCAGAGCCACUUUGGCCAACCAUGGACAGAUGAAAGAAAAAGUAAAUGCUUAUUGUUCUCAACCACUCAGUUUUGAGGUGGUUUAUUACAUAGCAUCAUGAUGGCAAGAGCUGACUGCUGCUGUGACAAUAACUGCCUGAAUCCUAAAACUCUUAGGAAUAGAAAUUCUGAGCAGAUGGGCCAAGGGUAACCCACUGAGGUACUGGAGUGUUCCAGGCAGAGAAGGAGGAGACUGUUGAGUGACUUGCCUAAUUCUCCCUUGUGCAGGUGUUUGAGAAUUUGCUUGACUAUUUCUCUAUUACAGAACAUAUGGUUUGUUUUCACACCAGAGCAUCCAAGGAGAUUUAGCAACCUUGGGUGGAGUCUAAACUGGCAUUGAUAUCUAAGAGGUUCAGCAUGGGGGAGAGGCAGAGAAAAGGGCUUCUCUAGGGAUAAUCUUUCAAGUGCAGGGCAAGGCCCUGGUUCCUGGAGCAGCACACCUUGCCAGCAUCUGGGGAUGGCAGGAUGGACUGCAGGUGUCGGGGAGAUCAGGUGAACCAAGACUGCAGAUUGUUGGGGCUGUUUGAGGCCAGCCUCUGUUUUGCCAGGAAAAUUGAAAUGCCAUGUUGAAGCUCAGUUACCAGAACCAUUCAGAGACUGGAAGUGAACCUGUAGCUUUGUGGGCAUCCACGAACCAUCACUUUCCACGAGCAAUAGUAGCACUGAGUUCAGGGCAACUGAAAAAAAAUUCAGAGCAUUGGAGGCUUCCAAUACAUUGCCGGCCUCAGAUGGAAGUGACUUAGAAACAGGGUGGAACUGAGCUGGUGGGGUCUCAAGACCUGAAGUUGAGUAGACAGCAUGAGGCAGGAAGCAACAGGUUGGGAGCAGAGUGCUUACUAGUUCUGUGAAUUUGGGCAAGUUACUCAACCUCUCUGUGGCUCGGUUUCUCCACUAGAAGUCAGAGAUAAUGGUGGUACUUACCUUACAGGUUUGUUAGGAGGAUUAAAUGAGUUAAUAUCUGUAAGAUUUUAGAGCAGUGCAUGUCAGAUAUAAGAACUUGUUAAAUAAAAUAUAUUUUAUCCUUUACAUGUAUCUUAAAUGUCAGUUCUUCAGGGAAGCCAUCUAAGACACAUAAUCCCCCAAGAGAAGGCUAGGUUCUCCUUUUAGAGGGUCCCAUAAU